UGCCAGUGAGAUAUGCUCAAGUUAAGGAUUAAGCCAUGCAUGUGUUAGAAUAAGUAUUUCUUAUUGCGAGUCGGCGUAAAGCUCAGUAAUUCAGUUUUGAUUUUUUCGGAUAUUUGUUAAAAGAAGGGGCAACUUUUCUUUUUUCUACAAGGAUAACUGUAGUAAUUCUAGAGCUAAUACUUGCAUAAUUUAAUGGAUUGAUAUUUAAGUGUCGAUCCUGUAUUUAUUAGAUAUAAAACCAAAAUUUUGGGGGGCAACUCUCAAUUUAAAACAAUUUGGUGAGUCACAAUAACUUUUUAAUUUCAAUUAAUAUUUCGAAUCGAAUAUCUUUAAUGAUGUCGAUAAUCCGUUAAAAAUUCUGACCCAUCAGGUUUGGAUUGUAGCUUAGUGGACUACAAUUCCUAUAACGGGUGCGGGGAAUUAGGGUUUGAUUCCGGAGAAGGGGCCUUAGAAAUAGCCACUACACCUAAGGGAGGCAGCAGGCGCGCAAAUUACUCAAUGCCAAAUCGGCGAAGUAGCGACGACAAAUAACAAUGGAUAGAUGAAGAAAUUCAUUUAUUCAAUUGGAAUGAGAUUAAUUUAAAAAAGUUUUUAAGUAACAAUUGGAGGGCAAGUCUGGUGCCAGCAGCCGCGGUAAUUCCAGCUCCAAUAGCGUAUGUUAAAGUUGUUGCAGUUAAAAAGCUCGUAGUUGAAAUGGGAUGAAAGACAUGUUUAAAAGACAUAAAUUUGGAGUUAAACGGAUUCGAAUGUUUGAUGUUUUUUCGGAUGUAAAAAGUUCGUUGAGAUGUUGAAUUUCGAAUUUUUAAUUCUACUUUCAUUCAAAUAGUUUAGAAACAGAACGAAAAUAUAAUUAAACUUUAUGUUUUCGAUAAUUCUUUUCUUUGUAAACCUUGAAUAAAAUGGAGUGUUCAAAGCAGGUUAUUGUUUGAAAAUAGCAAUAUUUUUAAACAUCUUUUCGCUCGAACAUUUUAGCAUGGAAUUUUAAAAUAUGACGUUAAAUGAGAAAUUUUUAUUCAAUUAGAAAUUUCUUUGGCGAAAAUAUAUUUUUUGUUGUUUUUGUUUUCGCACGUAAUGAUAAAAUAGGGAAGGUUGCGGGGGUUUUUGUAUUUAAAAGUUAGAGGUGAAAUUC
RNAcentral lists this ribosomal RNA (1129 nucleotides) under uncultured soil eukaryote. Its description in RNAcentral is "partial small subunit ribosomal RNA". It matches the Rfam family "Eukaryotic small subunit ribosomal RNA", at positions 15 to 919 of the family's 1831-position model. The record is from RNAcentral.